This is a long non-coding RNA of Cucumis sativus (cucumber), 1712 nucleotides long. RefSeq lists it as uncharacterized. The transcript has 3 exons. Lineage: Eukaryota; Viridiplantae; Streptophyta; Magnoliopsida; Cucurbitales; Cucurbitaceae. The record is from RefSeq and is a predicted model, not a curated record.
CCCACUGCAAAAUCUGUUUAAGGUUUAGGAGGGUCCUAUGUUCAAAAGUUUGCUGGUGUGUAUCUUUGUUGGCUCGACAUGUUUUUAAUUUAUGAUUGUUGUUGGUGGAGAGAGCGGAAGAUGCCGGGGACAGUUUGGAGAAGAUCAAGCGGCAGCUGGCCUCUGGGUCUGGUCGGAAUUUGUUGCAGGGUCCCCUUCUAAAGCGAUCUGAAACAUUGAGGAAAUGGAAUGAGCGAUGGGUAGUUUUGGACCCAACAACAGGGAAAAUGGAGUAACCAUACGUCCCAUUUACACUGUUUUUGGUCCUUCCUUGCUUGGUUCAAUGUAGUAAUAUGUUGGUGGAAACAGCUCAUUUCUAAUGCUGCUGCCGAUGGUGAUGGGGUCAAUGGACCUCUGCCAAGAGUGUUCAUAUCACAAAUUGUUGUGGAUUAGUUGAGUAAAUAAACUCAGAUGACAUGAAUAGCGCCAAACAACUACAAAGAGAACUGCCAUACUCCUAUAAUUGCUGCUAACCUACCUAACUAAGAAUAUACGACAAUCUCGAAAAUGUGCCAAUGAGAGACAUCAUCAGAUCCAGAGAUCAAGUUUGCCAAGAACUACUCAUAGUAGAAUUUGCAAAUAUGUGGUGCAAACUGAGCCAAGAAUAGACAACUCCAACCUUUUUGGAAUAGACGUGGUUAUCAACCUUUUGACUCUCUUCUUCUUUUCUUUCCUGACUUGGAUUCACUGCCCUGAUCAUUGGAUGAAUUUAGUGACUUUCCCUUUGAGUUCUCCAUUGUUUUCCCAGAAGUUGAUGAAUGCUUCACAUCUCCACUUUCUUUUUCUUUUGCUUUUGAAGAUGUGAACUUAACCUUGGUGGAGAGAUUGGUAUUAUUAGACUUAUCGCCUGUUUUGGUAGACUUGCCUUUUGAAACGGGAGUUUUUGGGGUUUCUUGUUUGGACUUCCCCGUCUUCGAUACAUCUUGCUUGUUGGACUUUGCAACAGCGGCAGGUGUGGAUGUCUCAUCGUCCUUAGAUUUGCUAGUCUUGUUGGAUUCGGCAUCAUCAUUCUUCGACUUGCCAGCGAUUUUUGGACCUGUGCUACCACGUUUACUUCCAAUUUCAAGAGUGCCUUGAUCCUUUGAUUUACUUCCAAUUUUUGGAGGCUGGUUUCAGCACAGGUGUGGUUUCCUUUUUAUCAUCAUCACCUGACAAUCUUUUCACGUUUUUUCCAGAAAUAGAUUUAGCUGAUCCCUUCUUUCUCUUGACCUCUGAUUGUUUUAAAGAACUCCCCCCACUCUUGCUGGUUCCAUCACCCUUCCUAACAGACUGCUUCAAUGUCUUAGUUUCAAAAUCACUUGUAGUGUCAUUAGUUUACAUUUACAUUUACGUUGAAGAUAUAAUAUUACAUUUACGUCAUUAGUUUUUGGAUGAAUUGGUGAUUUAACAUGCUCUAGAGUGGAUAGUUUAGGAGGUCUGUUAGACCACCAUUGUUAUUUUACUUAUAAUAGAAGAAAGGAAAGUAAGGCACGUUAGUAAUCAACACAGUUACUUAUUCAAAAGGAUGACAGUUAUCUAAAACAGGAAGUUAAAUGGAUGAGAGGGAGAUGGGAAAGGGCAGGCAGUUUUUAGUAAAAGGAAGGGCCUGCCAGAAUUGUUCUGGUUUUAAUUGUAGUAUUUUGAAUUGUGUUUAUUUCUGUUUUGGAUUAGGAGGGUUUCUUUGCUUGUUGUUU